UGAAAUGCAAGCGUGGGAGGGUGAGAACCCUCGACCAGGGUUCGACAACAGGCGUAGCCUGUUGGACAGACUCUGAGCCUGCGAAGAGGCUGCCCGCAGGGCGAGCUCCGCGAGUCAAUCCCUCCCUCACCGCCA
RNAcentral lists this small RNA (135 nucleotides) under Tenebrionibacter intestinalis. Its description in RNAcentral is "RtT sRNA". It matches the Rfam family "RtT RNA". Rfam says of the family: This family represents a bacterial cis-regulatory element known as RtT RNA. The exact function of RtT is unknown although it is thought that it may be involved in changing the cellular response in relation to amino acid starvation. Lineage: Bacteria; Pseudomonadati; Pseudomonadota; Gammaproteobacteria; Enterobacterales; Enterobacteriaceae. The record is from RNAcentral. RNAcentral also lists the same sequence under 1 other name.